Molecule: ribosomal RNA, 1368 nt
Filed under: uncultured bacterium
Lineage: Bacteria
Description: 16S ribosomal RNA
Rfam family: Bacterial small subunit ribosomal RNA
Source: RNAcentral
AGAGUUUGAUCCUGGCUCAGGAGGAGCGUUGGCGGUGUGCCUAAUACAUGCAAGUCGAACGGUGACGAUUUUGUAGCAAUACGAAUGAAAUCAUAGUGGCGAACGGGUGAGUAACGCGUUGGUGAUCUGCCUCGAAGUGUGGACUAACUUCCCGAAAGGGUAGCUAAUACCGCAUAGUCUCUCAAGGUUUAAAAAAUUGAGAGUAAAGGAUUUAUUCGCUUCGAGAGGAGCCUGCGUCCCAUCAGCUAGUUGGUAGGGUAAUAGCCUACCAAGGCAAUGACGGGUAGGGGACCUGAGAGGGUGGCCCCCCACAAUGGAACUGAAACACGGUCCAUACACCUACGGGUGGCAGCAGUAGGGAAUAUUAGAAAUGGGCGAAAGCCUGAUCUAGCAACACCGCGUGUGCGAUGAAGGCCUUCGGGUUGUAAAGCACUUUUUGGAGGGAAUAGGAAGGAAGGUACCUCCAGAAUAAGUCUCGGCUAACUACGUGCCAGCAGCCGCGGUAACACGUAGGAGGCAAACGUUAUCCGGAUUCACUGGGCGUAAAGCGCGUGUAGGUGGUUCUGUAAGUAGGGCGUGAAAGCUCCCGGCUCAACUGGGAGAGGCCGUACUAAACUGCAGAGCUAGAGGAUGGUAGAGGGAGGUGGAAUUCCAGGUGUAGUGGUGAAAUGCGCAGAUAUCUGGAGGAACACCAGUGGCGAAGGCGGCCUCCUGGACCAUUCCUGACACUCAGACGCGAAAGCUAGGGUAGCAUCAAAAAGGACUUNCUCCNNUNNUCCUNNCCCUNNNCGACCCCAGUAGGGAUCGGCGGUUUAAUCACCGUCGGUGUCCAAGCUAACGCGAUAAGUCUGCCGCCUGAGGACUACGGCCGCAAGGCUAAAACUCAAAGGAAUUGACGGGUCCCCGCACAAGCAGCGGAGCGUGUGGUUUAAUUCGAUGCUCCGCGAAGAACCUUACCUGGGUUUGACAUAACAGUGGUAGAGAAGUGAAAACGGAUCGACCCUUCGGGGAGCUGUUACAGGUGUUGCAUGCCUGUCGUCAGCUCGUGUCGUGAGAUGUUCGGUUAAGUCCGCUAACGAGCGCAACCCGCGCUGUGUGUUACAAGUGUCACACAGUACCGCCGGUAUUAAGUCGGAGGAAGGUGCGGAUGACGUCAAGUCAGCAUGACCUUUAUAUCCAGGGCUACACACACGCUACAAUGGUCAGAACAAUAGGUUGCCAAGCCGCAAGGCGGAGCCAAUCCUCCAAAUCUGGCCUCAGUUCAGAUUGCAGGCUGCAACUCGCCUGCAUGAAGUCGGAGUUGCUAGUAACCGCAGGUCAGCAUACUGCGGUGAAUACGUUCCCGGGGAUUGUACACACCGCCCGUCA